AACGCAUAUUGCGCUCGAGGCCUCGGCCAAGAGCAUGUCUGCCUCAGCGUCGGCUUCACCCUCGACACAAUUGGAGUCUGUCCCGACAGAUGGCCCGAUUGUUUAGUCGGAGCUGACCGUCUUGCUUCCAAUUGGGAAGCGGGUCGGUUGAAGCACAGCGGCUCCAGCAAGAUCCCGAUCGGUUUAACCGGGGGCGCUGGCUUGGUAGGUAGCCUCGGCUGCAUGCCGCCAGACAGCCUGGGAACUUGCAUGGAUGCCUGAAACCACUCUUAACCAUUCGACCUGAGCUCAGGCAAGACCACCCGCUGAACUUAA
Molecule: unclassified non-coding RNA, 315 nt
Filed under: uncultured fungus
Lineage: Eukaryota; Fungi
Description: partial contains 5.8S ribosomal RNA, internal transcribed spacer 2, and large subunit ribosomal RNA
Source: RNAcentral